RNAcentral lists this small nucleolar RNA (78 nucleotides) under Gouania willdenowi (blunt-snouted clingfish). RNAcentral's name for it is "Small nucleolar RNA SNORD79 (ENSGWIG00000008598.1)". It matches the Rfam family "Small nucleolar RNA SNORD79". Rfam says of the family: snoRNA U79 or Z22 is found in intron 7 of the gas5 gene in humans and is also present in mice. Lineage: Eukaryota; Metazoa; Chordata; Actinopteri; Blenniiformes; Gobiesocidae. The record is from Rfam by way of RNAcentral.
AACUGUUAUGAUGACUUGUUUAAAACAAUGGGAAUCUCUCUGAAAAACAUGAAAGACAAACUGUUUUCUGACGCAGUU